Long non-coding RNA from Anopheles cruzii, 972 nucleotides. RefSeq lists it as uncharacterized. NCBI's taxonomy places the organism in Eukaryota, Metazoa, Arthropoda, Insecta, Diptera, Culicidae. The record is from RefSeq and is a predicted model, not a curated record. The transcript is spliced from 2 exons.
ACGUGCAUCUUUGGCUUCCACACUAAUGUGUUAUCAAUACUAUUCUGGCAUUGGCCAAAGGUGAAAUAAAAAUUUUACCCAUUGAAAGAAAAAGAUGCGCAAAAAGUAUUUCAAAAAUUGCUUCAAAUUUCAGUGAGUGUUCCAAAAGUGACAAGCAAAUUGCAUCAGCUCUUGCAGUGCGACAACUCAAAACGACUUAAGCUUUGUUACUUAAGCCGGUUCUUCGACGGUGUUCAAAUCAACGUGCAAACAGUUUACGAAUAAAGUGGUUUUCUUCCGCCGUGGCCCUUUUUGGAAAUUGUAAACGAAUUCCUGGUAGGAAAGCCAGCAGACAGAUCCUGUGGUUGAAAUUGUGGUGGAAUCAAAAUAUCUAACCCUGCACAUUGAAUCACAAGGUUGAAAAUAAUCCAGGUUAAAGAACCAGUAGUACAGGAAGAGUAAAAGUGCCAGAGUAAACAAUUAUUUUCCCACACAUAGAGCACAGAUGUAAACGAGUAGCCAAAUUCUUAGAAACUGGCGCACCCUAAGGAAAGGUUCACAUCCUGGCGUCAUCUGCAAGGCAGGAUGAAGAAAAAUAAGAAACGUAAGAAAUGUAUGAAUUUAGGAUGGGCGAAUUCGUGCUCCCCGCACACAGAUAGUUAAAUAGGGAAAACACGUGACAACGAUUAGGAGUGAUCACUAAUAUAUGUUGUAAUGUCUUAUUAAAUUGGACAAAGUGACGGUCAUUAAUGUAUACUAUAAACCGAAGCUGGUGAUCCUUGUCCAACAGACUUAGUUGCAGAUCCUCGUCGGGAAUGGUUCGCAGAAUGGUAGCAUCGCUUAGAAUAUUAUGAUGCUUCAUCGCUGGAGGACGACCAUGGAAGGCUGGCUAAAAGUUUUAAGGGGCUCCCUACUAAAUAAGACAUUAUUUUUACUAUAACCAACUUCAUAUUGAUGGCAUAAGAUCAUUGCAAUACAUAAAUUUCCUGCGGA